RNAcentral lists this transfer RNA (86 nucleotides) under Puccinia graminis f. sp. tritici. It matches the Rfam family "tRNA". Rfam says of the family: Transfer RNA (tRNA) molecules are approximately 80 nucleotides in length. Lineage: Eukaryota; Fungi; Basidiomycota; Pucciniomycetes; Pucciniales; Pucciniaceae. The record is from Rfam by way of RNAcentral. RNAcentral also lists the same sequence under 1 other name.
GGGUCUGUAGCCUAGUUGGUAAAAGAAGCACUCUGGUAUAUGACUCAGCAUUGCUGAGGCUGUGAGUUCAAAUCUCACCAGGCACA